GACGAACGCUGGCGGCGUGCUUAACACAUGCAAAUCGAACGGAAAGGCCCUGCUUUUGUGGGGUGCUCGAGUGGCGAACGGGUGAGUAACACGUGAGUAACCUGCCCUUGACUUUGGGAUAACUUCAGGAAACUGGGGCUAAUACCGGAUAGGAGCUCCUGCUGCAUGGUGGGGGUUGGAAAGUUUCGGCGGUUGGGGAUGGACUCGCGGCUUAUCAGCUUGUUGGUGGGGUAGUGGCUUACCAAGGCUUUGACGGGUAGCCGGCCUGAGAGGGUGACCGGCCACAUUGGGACUGAGAUACGGCCCAGACUCCUACGGGAGGCAGCAGUGGGGAAUAUUGCACAAUGGGCGGAAGCCUGAUGCAGCAACGCCGCGUGCGGGAUGACGGCCUUCGGGCUGUAAACCGCUUUCGCCUGUGACGAAGCGUGAGUGACGGUAAUGGGUAAAGAAGCACCGGCUAACUACGUG
RNAcentral lists this ribosomal RNA (468 nucleotides) under uncultured bacterium. RNAcentral describes it as "partial 16S ribosomal RNA". It matches the Rfam family "Bacterial small subunit ribosomal RNA", at positions 28 to 507 of the family's 1533-position model. The record is from RNAcentral.